GCUCACUUUUAGUGCUCAUAUACUUAAGUUAAAAUGAUACAAAGAAGAUUAGCAUGGGUCUGCACAAGGAUGACAUGGAAAUUCGUGAAGCAUUCUGUAUAUUU
Small nuclear RNA from Sorex araneus (European shrew), 104 nucleotides. The record is from Ensembl. Lineage: Eukaryota; Metazoa; Chordata; Mammalia; Eulipotyphla; Soricidae.